GCAGUUUCUGGGCGUCUAUCUCUUCAGGCAUUCAUUCCAUUACUACGAACUUAGAUACUCAUAAUUGUUCAACUGAAUGUUUUACUAUCUUUCUGCAACUAGGAGCUAAAUCAAGAGGUUGUGGAAUGUGCUGCAUGUGGAUCAUCAGGUUAUGCUAUUACAGGAGACUUGGCUUUGUUAGAGAAAUUGGUUGCAAAAACCGAUGCUCGAUACAUCAUUGUGGUGGAGAAGCACGCCAUAUUCCAGAGGCUAGUUGAAGACUGUGUUUUUAAUCAGAUACCAAGCAUCCUCAUCACAGGCAAAGGCUACCCAGACAUUGCUACAAGAUUCUUCCUGCACCGUUUGAGCAGUGCUUAUCCAGUGUUC
Long non-coding RNA from Impatiens glandulifera, 366 nucleotides. RefSeq lists it as uncharacterized. NCBI's taxonomy places the organism in Eukaryota, Viridiplantae, Streptophyta, Magnoliopsida, Ericales, Balsaminaceae. The transcript has 3 exons. The record is from RefSeq and is a predicted model, not a curated record.